Long non-coding RNA from Lolium perenne, 786 nucleotides. RefSeq lists it as uncharacterized. Lineage: Eukaryota; Viridiplantae; Streptophyta; Magnoliopsida; Poales; Poaceae. The record is from RefSeq and is a predicted model, not a curated record.
AUAUCUCCUCCUCUGAUGGUGAUCUCUUCGGUCGGCGAUCUCCCGCUUGGUUGUCGGGAUGGAAGUACAGAGCCAACCGCCGACGAUAGACGAGGGAGGUGGAGGGGCGAAUCCGCAGCGGGGGAAGGGGAGGGGCUGCGGGGAACCUAGGCUGGCCGCCGGUGCUAGGCAAGGAAGGAGGAGUGGCGGCGGGGAUUGGGGGCUCGGCGGCGGGGAACCUGGGUGGCUGUCUGAGCAACCUCGCACCUCCGCCCCCAUGAGCAAUAUCGGGCAUGAGCUCCUGGAAUUCGAGUUCCUCCCCGGCUCGGGUACCUCGCGUGGCGGGGCGUAUUUCGUGGCUGGCUCAUGGAGUCAAGGCCCGAGGCCGAGCUUCGCAAGCUUGCGAUGGUCGAGUGCCUCAGCGUCUACAACCACUCACUCGUCAUCAAGAUUGGCGUUCACUUCUUCCUCUGACACUAGGCCUCCUUAGGAGCUAUACACAUGUCAGAAAAAGCUUUCAGCUGGUUCCCAAAGGUCAAAGCUGAAAAGGUAACUGGAGUUGAGACUAAUGAGGCCAUAGCACAGACUGAAACUGAUAAGGUAUUGGUGUCUUUUUUCACAUUUGAUUAUGUUGUGAAUGUGUCAAAUUGAGUGGUUGUGUUUAAACUUACUCUUUUCCUUCUUUAUUCCAUGCCACCAUAGAUGUUUCUACUCCCGAAGUUGGUGUAAUUGAAAAGGAAAAUCAUUUUUCUAAGGGAAAAACACACUUUCCUAUAGAAUUGCAUAUUUACUGGGCUAGCACAAUCA